ACAAAAUCAGUUCAGUAUUGGUUCAAGUCGAUUAACAAUCGACAGCCAUCAAGAUGUUCUCCAGGUGCAUCUGCAUCUCGAAGAUGACUUUCGCCAAACCCAACACCAUGCUUUCAGAUAUUUUCGAUAUGAAUAAAGUUUUGUGCGUCUUGGUAAUUGCCCAGUCGAUUCACAAGGUGUUGAGGAAUCUGUAAUCUCUAUUUUUGGAAAACUCUGGAGACAAGAUGGACGCGAAGCUGGAGUAACAUCAGGAAUGGCUGUGCAAAUUUUUCAAAAUUACUUUCAAAAACACAUCCACACCACCAAUCAAUUAACGACACAUCAAAGUUUAACAAAAAACUAAACCACAUAAAAGAUUUACACGAAAAUUGACUUCGAUACAAAAUAAACGUUCUUUCAAGUAAUGAUUAAUGUUACUUUUUGUAGUGAAAUAAUAACUGUGCUCUAUUUAUAAUAAAAGUUUCACCAGUAACAAUAAAAUUGUAAGUAUA
Long non-coding RNA from Anoplophora glabripennis (Asian longhorned beetle), 491 nucleotides. RefSeq lists it as uncharacterized. Lineage: Eukaryota; Metazoa; Arthropoda; Insecta; Coleoptera; Cerambycidae. The transcript is spliced from 2 exons. The record is from RefSeq and is a predicted model, not a curated record.